CCUGUUUCUUUGGGUGUUGACAAUGAGGGAAGUGGUUACCAAAUUUCUGCAUCAGGAAGGGCAAUAUGAGAUUCAGCUGCUCGUUGUAGGCUAGGCUGGCAGGAGCAACACCUUCUUGGUUAUGGUGAGGUUGCUGAGCCAAUUGUAAAGGACAGGAGUGCCAACAAUACGCCAAAGCGUGCGAAGAGCCUACAAACU
This is a long non-coding RNA of Solanum tuberosum (potato), 198 nucleotides long. RefSeq lists it as uncharacterized. The transcript is spliced from 3 exons. Lineage: Eukaryota; Viridiplantae; Streptophyta; Magnoliopsida; Solanales; Solanaceae. The record is from RefSeq and is a predicted model, not a curated record.